Molecule: long non-coding RNA, 3295 nt
Organism: Chelonus insularis
Lineage: Eukaryota; Metazoa; Arthropoda; Insecta; Hymenoptera; Braconidae
Exons: 6
Source: RefSeq, a predicted model, not a curated record
CUAGACCUAGAGUUUGAAAGUUGAACAAUCUAUUUAAAACACAUUCUAUUGUUGUGUUCUGCAUCCAUUUGAGUAUCUUCAGUUUCGAAUUGAUCUCAAUCAAAAGGGAAUUUUUCCAUUUCGCAAUCAAUGUCAAUCUUGAUUGAGGCUCUAACUUGAUUAAUCUAGUCAUAAUGAUCCUUUAUGAUUAUGACAAAUGAUGCAGCUGUUGAUUUUUUUUUGUUCAACUUUCAAGAUCAAGAAUUUUUAUAAUAUUUUUUAUCAUUGAUCUUGUGAAGUAAAUUUUCUUGAAGAAAAUAGUUAUCAUAUUAUUGAGUACAGAUGAAGUUGGUUCAAAUUUUUCAUGGCUGAAGAAUACAAAUCGAUGCAUAAGACAGUUUAUAUAUAGUUGUAAACGUGAGACCAUCGUAAUAACGAUAAUAAUUAUUAAAAAAACUGAUACAACCCUGAGAUUUAUUCUCGCUAUGUUUUGGAAAUUUUACACUCUCUCAGGGGAAUUCAACUUGAAAUAAAAGGGAUAUUUAUGCUGUGGAAUAGUAAUUGAAAAUUUCGGUUACAAACCAGCUAACUAAAAUGGAUAAAGAAAUCGAGUUGAGAUCACGUUGACAUUAACUUCAAAGAUAUUCACUUAACAUUCCAUUCCUGAAAGACGAGUUAACGGUUUGACUUAAUUACACUUUGAUGAUAAAAUAAUUGGUCUAAUAUUAUCUAAAUCAUCAAAUAUUUUUGUAUAUUUUAUUCUUCAUCGUAAUGAGUUAUCAUCUCAUCUUAAUAAUAAAAUUAUUUUUAUAGUCACAUCAACGACCACAUUCUACAGUAAUUAAACACUUUUAAUUGGAUAUUUUCAGAUGAGAAAAGAUCUUAAUAAAAAAUAGAAAAAAAAUUUUUUUCCUUGUUGUCAAAUACAGAAAUUUAUUAAUAGUAUUUGUCUUGGAGUACAAAGAUUGAAAAUUCCUCCGAAAUUUUGUGCUAUUUUAAACUUGUGGAGGUUAUGUGUGGCGGUGACAUACAAGCGAACAUGGCGAAAUUAGAAAGGAUUCAACAUGUCACAGAAACCCGAAAAAAAAAAUUUUGUGUAAAUGUUCAAUUUUCAAAAUGAUACGUAGGUGGGUUACAAGUGUUUUCAAAUUAUAGUUACCAUUUACUGACAUAGAAAAAAUCUUCAAGUUUCACAGCUAGUAAUUAAUUGGUGUGAUCCAAUUAUUGGAGUCUUUUCUACAUGUCUGAGAGAAAAAGCAUGUAGGGAUUUGGAUGUCGUUUUUGACACUAAUCUUAGUAAAACACAAUAAAUUCCCUUCAUGGAUACAAUGUGGAUAGAAUGGACACCAGAAAGAUAUAGACUGCAGUGGGUGACGAUUCACGCGUCGCAACUUCCUCUUUUUUUAGUGAUUAAUGUCGCGAGAAGAUACACAUAAUAUAUAUGGCUCGUGAGUCUGAACGAGGCGCCCGGUGCCUCGUGUCGCUUCAAGAAACGAAUGCCAAGCUGGGGAGAGAAAAGAAAAGAGAAAAAACCCUGCUACAAUGCUUGUAUCUAACAAAUAAGAAUGCCAUUCAAAACAAUUUUUUCGUAAAUUAUUAUGUUUAUUUUGAAUGGAAUUAAAUGAGACAUACAGAUGAUUUUUGGUGAUAAAAUUUUGAUAGUUACACGAGACAUUGGUAAAUUAAUUUUUGAUAUCAUUGUAUCUUUGUAUGAAAUCAUUUUUUUCUUCUUUUCUUUAUCCAAUCUUUUGAAAGUGAUGAAUGUAAUAGAUAGAAGGUUAAAAGGAUCACUGUGAUAUCGAUACAUUUCAAUCAAAUCAUGUCUUAUACCUAUGUCCAAGAGGGUCCAAUCCUAGAAGAAGACUCAUUCCAUUAUGGUCCUUUCAUGUCAUAACAAGAAACUAAUGGAUUGCUAGUGAUAUUUGAUCAAGGAUGAUGACGUUAGGUCCCGAUGACACGUCAUAUUGCUACUAGGAAAUUCCAGGGUACACGAUGUGAAGGGAGGAGAGCAAAAACAAGCCGGUAAGUAAUACUCAACAUUCCACUGAUACGAAUUAAAGGAUGGGAACGAGAAAAUAAGAGUGUAUGGGGAAAAUCUUAAAUGAAGUACAGGUAAAAAUAUUUUUCAUACUGUUCAUUUCAUUGUAUGAUUUACAUUUAUGCAUUUCUUGAUGUUAAAUUAUUUUUUCUAAGACAUUCUAUAUUGCAAUGAUAUUAGAUUGUGUGAUAAUGGUUGCCACUAUUGCCAGUGGAUCAUUAAAAUAAACUACUACAAAUCGUACGUGGCAAAAUGCACGUAGGAGUAAUAUAUAUACAUGAUCGUGCACUAUGCUAUAUGAAUGACUAAUUAUAUACAUAUACUCACACUACUUAUUUAUCAUCUGAUUUCCUGAGUAAGUGCACACGAGUUCUGCGUAAUGAUUAAAGUGUACGAAGUGCACGAAAAAUUCUGGGUGGAAGGUAAAACCGGUUUGAUAAUGACAUAUAUCACCUAAAGAGUGAUGAAUCUUUCUAAUUUAAGCAAUUAAAUGUAUUCUUUUCUUCAUCAUUAUUACCAUAAUAAUAAAACAUCAAACAGUUUACCUUCUUUUAGAAAAUUACCAGCAUAUUUUACUUUUAUUUUCACUUUUUUUUUUGUUCAACACUUGGACAAAAAAUAAUUAUUUUAAUAUACUCAAGAAGUAUAUAUAAUGACCCUUCAAUCAAAUAUCAUCAUCUUUAUUUUGCAUUUAUAUACAAGUAAUAAUAGUCAUAUGACACUUUGAUGUUAUUUUGGAGCAGAUAACAAAUUUUUAUUUCAUGCUCUAGGUACACAUGGGAGUGGCAUUGAAAGAUCAACUUGAUGUCUUCUAUGCUCUUAACGCGUGAAGAAUAUACAUCAUAAAUAAAUGGCCAGCUCAUCUCAGAAGAUUGAAAGAUAACUAAUGAAGUUAUUGCAUUAAUAAUGAAAUAAGUGCUUGUGGCUAAUGACCUAAUAAUGACACGGAUGGUGAAAAGACCUUUAGGUCCAUUCUGUCUGAUCAUCAUCUCAAAUUAUAGCUCUGCAACGACUUAAUCCACCAUUUGAGUAAACGCCCCGAGGGAUCACGAAUCCUACAGCCAUGCGAUUAAGCGAUGGUUAUAGUGGGCGGACGUGAGGACGUUGGUAGCACUCGUUUAACCCGCCGUCGAUUAGCAACACCUUACAUUUAUUCCUCAAGAACGGAUAUUUAUGCAUGUACAGAAUAUCUUCAAGAGCCACUUCAUGCUGACAUUUACGCUUAGUUUAUUUUACCAAACCUACAAACAUGUAUUACCUUUUGUUACGGUUGUAACU